This is a long non-coding RNA of Pistacia vera, 539 nucleotides long. RefSeq lists it as uncharacterized. Lineage: Eukaryota; Viridiplantae; Streptophyta; Magnoliopsida; Sapindales; Anacardiaceae. The record is from RefSeq and is a predicted model, not a curated record. The transcript has 3 exons.
ACUUUAGAGGAUGGGAAGAUUGUGAGGGGUCUUUCUGGAAUUCCUUCAGAGGGACCAGUCUUAUUUGUUGGAUAUCACAUGUUAUUAGGACUUGAUGUCAUUCCAAUGAUACCACACUUUUUGAUCGAAAGGAAUAUCCUUCUGCGAGGCAUAGCACAUCCGAUGUUGUUCUAUAAGUCAAGAGAGGGAAAAUUACCAGACUUAGAUCAAUAUUAUACAGUCAGAUUAAUGGGUGCAGUUCCUGUCUCAGCAAUAAACUUCUUCAAACUAAUGUCUUCAAAGUCUUAUGUCCUAUUAUAUCCAGGAGGCAUUCGAGAAGCUGUUCAUCGCAAGGGUGAAGAAUACAAAUUAUUUUGACCAGAAGAGUCUGAGUUUGUCAGGAUGGCAGCUAGAUUUGGAGCCAAAAUUAUACCUUUUGGUACUAUUGGAGAAGACGAUCUCGCUCAAGUAGUUUUUGACUACAAUGACCUAAUGAAAAUUCCCUACUAUAAAUCUCAAAUAGAAGAAUUGACUGACGAGGCUGUGAAAGCAAGGUAUCA